This 411-nucleotide ribosomal RNA is filed under the name Triticum aestivum (bread wheat). RNAcentral's name for it is "partial small subunit ribosomal RNA". The record is from RNAcentral. Lineage: Eukaryota; Viridiplantae; Streptophyta; Magnoliopsida; Poales; Poaceae.
UUGGUGGUGGUAGACAAAUUUACCAAAUAUUCCCAUUUCAUUGCCAUGAAACACCCUAUAACUGUUCAGACUGUAGCAAGAGCAUUUUCUGACACAGUGUUCAAACUUCAUGGAAUGCCCCUGGUUAUAGUAACUGACAGAGACAGAAUUUUUACAAGCAAUUUGUGGCAGCAGCUGUUCAAAUCACUAAAGAUCAAACUGCACAUGAGCACAAGCUAUCAUCCCCAAACUGAUGGUCAGAAUGAGAGGGUGAACCAAUGUUUAGAGAAUUAUUUAAGGUGCAUGUGUUUCCAACAACCAAGGAAGUGGCAUGCUUGGUUGGCACUAGCUGAGUGGUGGUACAACACAAGUUUCCACACUUCAUUGCAAAUGACUCCCUUCCAGGCCCUAUAUGGGUUUCCCCCUCCUAUG